Carassius auratus (goldfish) is the source of this 438-nucleotide long non-coding RNA. RefSeq lists it as uncharacterized. NCBI's taxonomy places the organism in Eukaryota, Metazoa, Chordata, Actinopteri, Cypriniformes, Cyprinidae. The transcript has 3 exons. The record is from RefSeq and is a predicted model, not a curated record.
CAGCAUUAGCAGCACAGAUAAAUUACAUCUUUAUUGUGUCUGUUACCCUUUUGUGCUAAAUAUUUCUGCAAUACAUAUAGGAUUUACGCUGCAGAUUACGGACACUGAAGACUAUAAGCAGAAAGUUCAAGUCUGGGUGGCCAGAAGUUACAUUUCAGUGAUCUGGUUACCGCCUCUCUCUGCAAACCCAAAGGAUCACUUUCCUCAGCGGAUCUACCCCAAUCAUCAUUAAUGGGACCACAUUGGAGAGAGUGAGCAUCUUCAAAUACCUUCAAAUGUCCUGCAAAGAGUAGCUGGGCACAUGUCCAGAACAUCUCUCCCUUCUCUGCAAGACAUCCAUACCAGGAGAUGUAAAUCUAGGGCUGUUAAGAUCUUUAAAGACCCCACCAACCCAUCUGCUACAGUCAGGCAGACCCUUCUGCAGUCUGAUGGCAAAGA